CCUACGGGAGGCUGCAGUGAGGAAUAUUGGUCAAUGGGCGGAAGCCUGAACCAGCCAAGUCGCGUGAGGGAUUCAUGCCCUGCGGGUCGUAAACCUCUUUUGCCGGGGAGCAGUGGUCCGGACGCGUCCGGACCGGGAGAGUACCCGGAGAAAAAGCAUCGGCUAACUCCGUGCCAGCAGCCGCGGUAAUACGGAGGAUGCGAGCGUUAUCCGGAUUUAUUGGGUGUAAGGGGGGCCCAGACGGCAAUGAAAGCCAGAAGUGAAAGCCCGGGGCCCAACCCCGGGACUGCUCUUGGAACUGCAUGGAUGGAGGACAGGAGGGGCAGGCGGAAGUCCUAGUGUAGCGGUGAAAUGCGUAGAUAUUAGGAGGAACACCGGUGGCGAAGGCGGCCUGCUGGACUGUGACUGACGUUGAGGCCCGAAGGCGUGGGGAGCAAACAGGAUUAGAUACCCCUGUAGUC
Molecule: ribosomal RNA, 461 nt
Filed under: uncultured bacterium
Lineage: Bacteria
Description: partial 16S ribosomal RNA
Rfam family: Bacterial small subunit ribosomal RNA
Source: RNAcentral